This is a long non-coding RNA of Lineus longissimus, 531 nucleotides long. RefSeq lists it as uncharacterized. The transcript has 3 exons. NCBI's taxonomy places the organism in Eukaryota, Metazoa, Nemertea, Pilidiophora, Heteronemertea, Lineidae. The record is from RefSeq and is a predicted model, not a curated record.
CAACGAUAACCAAUAUGGCUGACCCAAAAUCCGGCAAGGCGAAAACCGUCAUAAAAUUCGUCUCUAGUCUUUGGCAUGAUCCAUUUCGAUGGGCUGUGGUGAAAAGCAAUAUGAUGUUUUGGGGCGGUGUCUACAUAGCUCGUGAAAUAGCAUCUGUUGAAUCUCUUCCUGCAUAAUCAUGAUAAGAUGAGACUUUCACCCUUUGACGAUAGAUUGGUUAUUCAGCUUACUGCAGCACCUUUCUAUUGAAAGAAAAGAGGAUUGAACAACACCACUUAUGAGGAACACUUCGGUCUCUGAUGCAUUGAUCAAUUUUGACAAGGAUUUCGGGAGUCUCAACUCGUGAACUAAACCUAUGACUCAAAACAUUGGUUAUCAACUCGAAAGUCAAAAAUAAAUUGACAUACUCUUAUAGACUGUUGAUCUUUAGGAUGUUGAAAACGGCGUUUGAUAUGGUGGUGUAACAACAUCCAAAACGCCACCUCUUGUAAAGACGUGUACAUUUUCAAUAAAGAUUUUCUGAAAAUGCAA